This 148-nucleotide non-coding RNA is filed under the name Gorilla gorilla gorilla (western lowland gorilla). The record is from Rfam by way of RNAcentral. Lineage: Eukaryota; Metazoa; Chordata; Mammalia; Primates; Hominidae.
GCUGGGCGUGGUGAUGUGCACCUGUAGUCCCAACUACCUGGGAGGCUGAGGCAGGAGAAUCACUUGAACCCAGGAGGUGGAGGUUGCAGUGAGCUGAGAUCACGCCACUGCACUCCAGCCUGGGUGACAGAGUGAGACUCUGUCUCAA